GUGAGGAGCAGUCUUCUUUCAGAGAAAGGUCAUGCCUGCCUUAGAAGUCAUCCAUCAGAGAAGACCAUUUAUUACUUUGAUUUUAAAAUGAAACACCAUUUUGCUGCAAGCACUCCAUGGCUUUAUCUAGCGCUGACAACCACACAACCUGGCAAUCUAUAAAAGGACAAAAUUCAUAGCUGAUGUGCACACUCCAGACAAUAUUUUGCACUAGAAAUGGAAACACUUAGAAUCUUCACAUUCCCCAAAAAGAGGAAGAAAUGUUUUGGAACUCGUGAAAUAGUAGUCCCUCUUUGCUGUUCAUCAAAGCAAUACAGGAGAAGAGCCAGCAUGUGUACAAUCAGAGUCCUCAUUUCCAGAUGACGCUAAAUCUAGCCUUCCAGGACAGAAAGGAGGUUGCCAAGAUGUGCAAAGGUAAAGGUUCCCCUUGCACAUACGUGUUUGCCGACUCUAGGGGGCGAUGCUCAUCUCCGUUUCAAAGCCGAAGAGCCAGCGCUGUCCAAAGACGUCUCUGUGAUCAUGUGGCCGACAUGGCUCAAUGCCAAAGGCGCACAGAACGCUGUUACCUUCCCACCAAAGGUUGUCCCUAUUUUUUCUAUUUUGGUGCUCUUUAGUGAUCUGCUUAUCUACUGUGAGUUGCAACUACAAUCUCAGGCUUUAUUUAUGUCUCAGUUAGAAUAGGCUUUCUGUAUUUGCCACUGCAAUUUAUAAUAAACGUUGGGUAAUAAACCUAUACAGGUUUGAGUAUAUAGAAAAUAUUCAAGGUCAGUUGCCUACUAAACUUCCUAAGUGUAGUGCAAUGACCUACAGGCCAGAAACUCAUCAGUUGAGAAACUGCUGUCUGAAGAAAGGGUUUGUUAAUAUCACAAGGAUAAAAAGUGUUUCAGGGAUAUAUAUUCCAGAGUUUAUCCAAUACUUUCAAAGAAUAAAUAAUGAAGGCCAGUAAUUAGGAGAUCUUUAGAGUGUCUCAGAUUAACGAUAUUUCAAAUAUUUUGGUACAUAUGUGGGCAUACUGAAGACACAGAUAUUAAUUUUGUAAGCCAUCCAGAAUCACCUCAUGGGUAGAUGAGGUGAUUAAUUAUAUUAAUUAAUUAAUUUGCUACCUUAGAGGUUUUCUGCUUGUCUGACUCAGACAGAUGAGGAUUCAUACCUAUCAGGAGGUAAAGCAAGAGGAGAUAUAGUGGCAAAUGUUGUCUGCUAAAACUCCCUUUCUGUGGGCAAUCUGCACUCUAAAAUUAGGACAAUCCCACAGAGUUGUCCAAAAUAAAUAAAUAAAUAAAUAGUUAGCAAAAACUGCUCCUUCUAACUUGCAAAAACUUUGACUUGCAAAACUAUCGUUGUCUAUUUUACUGAAUAUAUCAAUGUAUUGUGAUUGUUAUUGUCUGCAACAAAACAGAUAGCUACAACUUUUCCCAAGACUAUAGGUUGCCUUCCACUGCUGCUGCAAACCUUAGAAAAAAUGGGUUUAGGGUAAGAUGUUGCAGAGAUGUAUUCUAUUUAUAUUCCUUUUUGUCAGAAUCCAAAGCACAACACAGUCCUAAUAAAAGCACAUUCCUAAAAUAUCAAAGUAUUACUUUACAGGGAAAGUCUACAGUCUUAUUUGAAAGUAGCCCUGGUCAACAAACAUCAUUAAGCUUGGUGUAGAUUGAAACAAAUAUAUAAUUAAUUUCAGAGGAACAGCAGGAACAGCACGGGAAGGGAAGCAGGAACAGAACAUGUAGAACAUCAGCUGCAGUGGUUUUGAUCCAAGCCAAUUUGUUUCUUUUCUCCUUUAUUUUAAAAACAAAAACAAAACUACACUCAGAAUCUUACAAAAGGAAGAGGGACAGAAAGAUUCCUGGAUGGGUGGACUAAGAGCAAUGGGGAUCAACCUCAGAGAGCUGCUUCUGGGAUAUCCCCACUAUGGAAGCCAUUUUGAAAGCAGACAAGCCUAUUCCAUCACACUCCAUUUUUGUCCCAGGCAGCCAUUGUGUAAAUAACAUUUAAUCAGUGGAAUAUCUUGCCUUCGGAAAUCAUGGGUGCUCCAUCAUUGGGGGCUGGACUAGAAGACCUCCAAGACCCUUCCAGCUCUAUUCUAUUCAUUUCACUUCUCGUUCAAGAAGUGAAAUGAAUAGAAUAGUGGUUUAAGGGGAAUGGAAGGAUUUGUAUUUUUACAGUCAUCUGAUUGUUGGCACUCUGAGGAUCAGUCAUUAGCUCUCUGAGAGUUGUUGAGGUCACUUGGGGGUUUAUUUGCAUCCUCAAAGGCACCUAAAUCAGAGUGCAAAUAGGUAUGAAACCUUCUUGGGACUGUUGAAAAGACUAUGUUGCAAACAGGUGGUGUAAUAUCUCUCCCCCUCUGCUGAGGGAAGACUGUUCAAUUUUGACAUAGAUGGCCUCUUAUCCUUCUGUUUCAAACAGAAGAGUGUUAACGACCAGAUGACUGCAAAGAAUAUAAAUCCUUCCAUUCCCCUCCAGUCAGUUAGAACUGAAGAAGCUUCCUGGAUAAGAAGCUAAAUGUUUUAAAUAUUUUUUUUAAAAAGUCUAGUUGUAUUUUGGAAAAAACACCUUUGGGCAAUCAUGACCUGGAUGAUUGAGACUCUCCAUAGACAUUGUAAAAUAACAUUCACAGUGUGUUCUUUAGAUUCCAAACUUAUAAACUAACCCUAAGAAAAAGGUUACCUGUCUUUUUCUAGGAACUAAAGAUAAUUGUCUCAUUUUAAAUAGAACAACAGUGAAGUGUAUACUUUCUGAACUCAGGUUAACCUUCAAAAUUGCAUGAUUAUAGUAAAGAGAAUGCAUAUUUAAUUAUUCAUGUAUUAACUGCAGCUAGAAUUGUAUUUGCACAGAAUUGGAAUAGUAAAGAGAUCCUUACUGAUGAGAAUGUGAUUAGGAAAAUAUUAGAAUGUGCAUAAAUGAACAGAUUAAUGCUUGCAAUUAAGGAGAAAGAACAAACUGAAUAUUAUAUGAGAUGGGAAUUAUUUUAUCAAUGCUUAAGAGAAUAAAAAUGGAAGUUGGAAACAAAAGGAGAUUGAAGAGUAGAAAAUAUGUUAGGAUAGGGAUGUAAACAAUAUGAUGAUUGUUAUUAUUAUGACUAUUAGGAUUAUUAUGCUUAAUAUUAUUAUUUUAUUCUUAUUAGAAAAUACGUUAAGAGGGAAAAAUGAAUAGGUAUACUAUGUUCAAUGCUACAAUGGUAAGAUCAGAGAAUUAAUAUCAAUGUAAUGAAUGCUGUUGUAAAUCUUGAUGGUUAUUGCACAGAGAUAUUUGUACCCAGACAACACACUGUUUAAGGAAAGAUGGAAUGUUUAUAUUAAAAAAAUAAAAAUUAAUUUAAAAAAUUGCAUCAUCCAUUAAUUCCUUUCUUUCCAAUUCUUUACAAAUGUCCUCACUUUACUGGUCAGUUUUAACCAGAAUAUUUUUCUGUUUCUUAAUAUGCUUAAUUACAGCUACAUCUCCUUCAACUGAGAAUUAUCGUAUUUUUCAGACUACAAAACACAACCUU
Molecule: long non-coding RNA, 3478 nt
Organism: Ahaetulla prasina
Lineage: Eukaryota; Metazoa; Chordata; Lepidosauria; Squamata; Colubridae
Exons: 4
Source: RefSeq, a predicted model, not a curated record